AAGCAGCUUGCUGCUUCGCUGACGAGUGGCGGACGGGUGAGUAAUGUCUGGGAAACUGCCUGAUGGAGGGGAUAACUACUGGAAACGGUAGCUAAUACCGCAUAACGUCGCAAGACCAAAGAGGGGACCUUCGGGCCUCUCACUAUCGGAUGAACCCAGAUGGGAUUAGCUAGUAGGCGGGGUAAUGGCCACCUAGGCGACGAUCCCUAGCUGGUCUGAGAGGAUGACCAGCCACACUGGAACUGAGACACGGUCCAGACUCC
This 263-nucleotide ribosomal RNA is filed under the name uncultured Enterobacteriaceae bacterium. RNAcentral's name for it is "partial 16S ribosomal RNA". It matches the Rfam family "Bacterial small subunit ribosomal RNA", at positions 73 to 339 of the family's 1533-position model. Lineage: Bacteria; Pseudomonadati; Pseudomonadota; Gammaproteobacteria; Enterobacterales; Enterobacteriaceae. The record is from RNAcentral.